AUUGAACGCUGGCGGCAGGCCUAACACAUGCAAGUCGAGCGGAGCGGCGGACGGGUGAGUAAUGCCUAGGAAUCUGCCUGGUAGUGGGGGAUAACGUCCGGAAACGGGCGCUAAUACCGCAUACUCUCAGAUGAGCCUAGGUCGGAUUAGCUAGUUGGUUGGGUAAAGGCCUACCAAGGCGACGAUCCGUCACUGGUCUGAGAGGAUGAUCAGUCACACUGUAACAGAGACACGGUCCAGACUCCGACGGUAGGCAGCAGGGGGGAAUAAUGGACAAUGGGCGAAAGCCUGAUCCAGCCAUGCCGAGUGUGUGAAGAAGGUCGUCGGAUUGUAAAGCACUUUAAGUUGUGAGGCGUUACCAACAGAAUAAGCACCGGCUAACUGCGUGCCAGCAGCCGCGGUAAUUC
This 407-nucleotide ribosomal RNA is filed under the name uncultured bacterium. Its description in RNAcentral is "partial 16S ribosomal RNA". It matches the Rfam family "Bacterial small subunit ribosomal RNA", at positions 30 to 526 of the family's 1533-position model. The record is from RNAcentral.